Etheostoma spectabile (orangethroat darter) is the source of this 89-nucleotide long non-coding RNA. RefSeq lists it as uncharacterized. The record is from RefSeq and is a predicted model, not a curated record. NCBI's taxonomy places the organism in Eukaryota, Metazoa, Chordata, Actinopteri, Perciformes, Percidae. The transcript is spliced from 3 exons.
AGAGCCAGGCUCGCUGUUUCCCAGUCUUUAUGUUAAGCUAAGCAAACCAUCUCCUGGCUGUAGCGUCAUACUGUACAUGACGGACAAAC